This 48-nucleotide non-coding RNA is filed under the name Billgrantia desiderata. RNAcentral's name for it is "Halomonas desiderata Guanidine-II sequence". It matches the Rfam family "Guanidine-II riboswitch aptamer (mini-ykkC)". Rfam says of the family: Simpler in structure and has fewer highly conserved nucleotide positions than the ykkC-yxkD leader. Lineage: Bacteria; Pseudomonadati; Pseudomonadota; Gammaproteobacteria; Oceanospirillales; Halomonadaceae. The record is from RNAcentral.
CCAGCGGGACGACCCGAUGGUGUGCUUGCCAACCCGGGGACGGCCUCG